AUUGAACGUUGGCGGCAUGCCUUACACAUGCAAGUCGAACGGCAGCGCGGACUUCGGUCUGGCGGCGAGUGGCGAACGGGUGAGUAAUGUAUCGGAACGUACCAUUCAGUGGGGAUAACGCAGCGAAAGUUGCGCUAAUACCGCAUAUUCUGUGCGCAGGAAAGCAGGGGAUCGCAAGACCUUGCGCUGAUUGAGCGGCCGAUAUCAGAUUAGCUAGUUGGUGAGGUAAAGGCUCACCAAGGCGACGAUCUGUAGCGGGUCUGAGAGGAUGAUCCGCCACACUGGAACUGAGACACGGUCCAGACUCCUACGGGAGGCAGCAGUGGGGAAUUUGGACAAUGGGCGCAAGCCUGAUCCAGCCAUGCCGCGUGAGUGAAGAAGGCCUGGUGUAAG
This 393-nucleotide ribosomal RNA is filed under the name uncultured bacterium. Its description in RNAcentral is "bacterial SSU rRNA". It matches the Rfam family "Bacterial small subunit ribosomal RNA", at positions 30 to 429 of the family's 1533-position model. The record is from RNAcentral.